GUUUUACCUUGACGAAUUGUAGUUUAAAGAAGUGUUUUCUGUUGAAGUUUUGGUAAAAGUUCUUUGGAAUAGGACAUCAUAGAGGGUGAGAAUCCCGUAUUUGACCAUUAUUUUCAGCUGUGUGAUACACUUUCAAAGAGUCGGAUUGUUUGGGAAUGCAGUCCAAAAUGGGUGGUAAAUUUCAUCUAAAGCUAAAUAUUGGCGAGAGACCGAUAGCGAACAAGUACCGUGAGGGAAAGAUGAAAAGAACUUUGAAAAGAGAGUUAAACAGUACGUGAAAUUGUCAAAAGGGAAGCGUUUGACACCAGUGUUGUUUUCUCGAAAAACAAUUAAAAAAAGUUGGAUUUUGUGUUGUAUUGACCUUAACAGCUUUCUGCACUCUUUUCCUGCUUUUUUU
This 397-nucleotide ribosomal RNA is filed under the name uncultured Neocallimastigomycetes. RNAcentral describes it as "eukaryotic LSU rRNA". It matches the Rfam family "Eukaryotic large subunit ribosomal RNA", at positions 127 to 520 of the family's 3401-position model. The record is from RNAcentral. Lineage: Eukaryota; Fungi; Neocallimastigomycota; Neocallimastigomycetes.